This is a long non-coding RNA of Pyrus x bretschneideri (Chinese white pear), 811 nucleotides long. RefSeq lists it as uncharacterized. The record is from RefSeq and is a predicted model, not a curated record. The transcript is spliced from 2 exons. NCBI's taxonomy places the organism in Eukaryota, Viridiplantae, Streptophyta, Magnoliopsida, Rosales, Rosaceae.
UUCGAUUGAGAUUUAAUCUCAAUCGUUCAAUAGAAAUCAAACCCUACACUUACACUCCAUCUCUCCUGUCUCUCUCGAUACUUAGUUCUCACUCACUCUCUCUCGUGGCUUGUCUCAGACUUAAACCCUCAUCUCACCACCCUCGUCGCCGAUUUGUCCCUCCGUUUUCGAAUCCGACCACACAAGUGACUCACCUGAGUCACAUCUCUCUUAACUAUCACCUCUCAGAUCUCUCUCUCAGUCUCUCUCAACUUCUUAUCCCUCACAGAGUCACAGUGGAGGAGCCUUCCUUCACAAAUCACGACCACUGGCGCCGCUCUCCUUCUCAGUCUCUCUCGAUUCUAGUGAUCCAGUGCACUGUGCAAUUCUCCCCCAAAUCAGGAAUACACGUCCUUUUCCUUUGAUGUUGUUGGCUACCUUGUGUAUAUAACGUUUGCAUAUUGACACUAGGAGGUCUUUCACAAACAAGAAGGAGCAACCACAACCAUCAACAACAUCAAGGGGCCGAAGGGGUCGAAGAGGCCAACAAUCUUCAUAAACUUUAAGCUUUUCAUUUUGCUUUUGGUUUGUAACGUAAUUUAUUUUGAAACUUUGGUUUGUAAUUAAUUUUUUUGCUUUUGGGUUUGUUACUUCAUUUAUUUUGAAACCGUGGCUUGUAAUUAAUUUUUUUGCUUUUGAAUUUGUUACUUAAUUUAUUUUUGUUGCAUGCAUGUGUAGUAGAAUAGGCAGAUCAUAUUGGCUAUUGUGAGUAGGGAAUAUAUGCAAGGAUUUUGGUUUGAUUUUAUUUCUACAGAAUAACUUGAUCACUUCA